AAACAUCCUUCUUUAUCAGUUUUGUUUUUGUUUUUGUUUUUUUAUUUUUUGUUUUUUUAUUUUUCGAGAUGGAGUCUUUCUUUGUCACCCAGGCUGGAGUGCAGUGGCACAAUCUCAGCUUACUUCAACCUCUGCCUCCCGGGUUCAAGUAAUUCUCCUGCCUCAGUCUCCCAAGUAGCUGGGACUGCAGGCACACAUCACCAUACCUGGCUAAUUUUUGUAUUUUUAGUAGAGACAGGGUUUUGCCUUGUUGGCCAGGCUGGUCUUGAACUCCUGACCUCAGGUGAUCCACCUGCCUUGGCCUCCCAAAGUGCUGGGAUUACAGUGUGAGCCACCGUGCCCGGCACAUCCGUCUUACUUUAAAAUGCAGUUAAGGAAAAGGCAGCAA
This 388-nucleotide long non-coding RNA is filed under the name Pan troglodytes (chimpanzee). Its description in RNAcentral is "long non-coding RNA NONPTRT007534". Lineage: Eukaryota; Metazoa; Chordata; Mammalia; Primates; Hominidae. The record is from RNAcentral.